GCUGAAUGGAGAUCAUUUUGCCAAAAAUAGUUUUUAUGAGACCAAACAUUGUUCUAACUGCCUAGACAGUACAUAAAGAACAUGUCCAUUGCUGAGAUACACUCUUCUGGGCUUAAAGCAGGCUACAGCCCAUAAAUACCUUUUUGGAAGGAAACAGGAGUUCUUCUUGAAUUCAAGAUGACUGUUUUCUUGUUUGUUUUUAAAGGCAGUUGGGGGUUCAUUUUACAUGUGAGUUACUGUGAAUAUGUGAAAUAUUUCUAAGUGGGGCUGUCAUUCCCUCUAGGAAAUAUGCCCUCCUCUUUCAGUUCUGCCCUACUCUCUUCUUCUCCCCACCCCAAACCACUGGGCUCUUAUCAGCAACUUAAACAACAGAGUGCGACUGUGCUCUUCUGAACUCUUUAAUUAAAUGGUGUUAUUGACAUGAAAAUAAUUGCAACUUCGUUCAUGGCGCUCCACGCACAGGCAAACCCUGGCCUAAGACAUUAUAGCCCAGACAGGAAAGAAGUGAAGAUAGUUACUUGGUCAAAACGGUAGGAAAACUAAUUGUUCAUACCUCUGUCAGAAUCUUUGAAAGCAAUAACUUGCUUAUAAAAUCCUCAUCCAAAAUGGAAAUAAUGUGAAGAAAUGCUCAUGUGUUUAAAUAUAAAGAACGUUAUUAUCAGAGCAGGGAAUUAUAGGCCAUGUGCAAAUUACUACGUAUGUUGUUGUUGAAACAAGGUAUCAUUGGCCUCUGUUCUUCACUUUCAUGUUUAUAACAGGAUUCUGCCUUCAGAAGCACAUGGAUUUCCUCAUUCAUUCGGGAGUGGAGUGUAACGGCCCCCCGUGCCCUGGUGCCACCUGGCAGUGCCCUGGUGCCACCUGGCAGCGCGGAAGCAGCGGGGGCACGUGUCAGCAGCAGUCCCCUCUGCCAGCCGCCUGUGGGUGCGUGAUCAUUCAAUUUUAAAAGACUUUUUUUAUCGGACAAUACGCGAGCAGGAAUUUGAAGUACAUUAUUCUGUUGCUUUGGCAACACCAACUGCUAGAACUUUGCAAGGCUUCACCUAAGAUGUCUGAAGACUAAAGUUACUACGGUUUUUUGUUCGUACGCGGAUAAAGCUUAAUUUCAUGGAGUUGUACAUUCUCGGGCACACUUGUUGCCUUUUCUCUUAACUUGGGGGGAGACAGUCAUGGUUCCAGUUCUGUAAAGCUUGCAAUACUGUUACUUUAACAGAGGAAGCGUAUGCAGCAGUCUGUUAGAGAGUGCAUUUAACUAUGGACCGCAGGAGCAGACAGAGUUUGUCUGUGUAGCAACAGCUCCCCCAACCAAUCAGCAGAGAUGUUAGAGUGGAAGCAUUUUUAACACUUCGUCUCCUUUAAUUUUUAACAUGUUCUUUUCUGAUCCCCCUCCUCCACUGCAGGCUUAGGGUGACGUCCUGAAGCUUUCCCUCUCUUUUGUGCAAUAGAAGUUGGGUGUUAGAAGCAAUUACCAAGUCAAACUAAGCCCUUUUUAAAAUAUUUUAGUUUUGACCCGUAUCUGCCAGGAAAAGGUUCCGGUAUGCUGUUUUGUUCUGUCUUUCCAUAAAUUUCUAUGCUGUGCCAGCUGUUCGGUUUAACUAAGAUGUCCGAAUUUCUGUGUACGCAUAUUUCAAGAGGGCUUAGGAGAUAAUGAACACAUUUUAUGAGGAUUUACUGCUUUUUCCCCAACUUCCAUUUUAAUCUUCCAAUUAAAAGGACUACAGUAAAAGGAGUACUGGAAAGCUGCUGCAUACAACAGAACAGAACUAAUACCGUAUCCCGUGCUGCUGAAUCACAAGCAGUUAACACUGGCGUUAGUGGGUUUCCUCUAAUGAGGCAGAGGGAGGUGGGUAGCUAAUGCGGCUAAUACUGGCGAGUGCUCAUCCAUCCUAAGGAAGUGGAAGACAUGAAGUAAUGCAGGUUAGAAAAGCUAGUAUGGAAGAAAUGAAUUUUAUUCCCGCCUUCCAGGAAUUUAUGCCAGCUGACUGCACUGGAUAAUAGAAAAAAAGGAUCUCUGACCCUCCUCAGUCUCUUUGUUUUGGAACAGAGGAAAAGUGGUCUUUUACUUAAAUAAAUAAACUUUUUGAUCAC
RNAcentral lists this long non-coding RNA (2085 nucleotides) under Apteryx owenii (little spotted kiwi). Its description in RNAcentral is "lncRNA (ENSAOWG00000017342.1)". Lineage: Eukaryota; Metazoa; Chordata; Aves; Apterygiformes; Apterygidae. The record is from RNAcentral.